RNAcentral lists this small nucleolar RNA (87 nucleotides) under Lentinula edodes (shiitake mushroom). RNAcentral's name for it is "Small nucleolar RNA snR60/Z15/Z230/Z193/J17". It matches the Rfam family "Small nucleolar RNA snR60/Z15/Z230/Z193/J17". Rfam says of the family: The members of this family belong to the C/D class of snoRNAs which contain the C (UGAUGA) and D (CUGA) box motifs. Most of the members of the box C/D family function in directing site-specific 2'-O-methylation of substrate RNAs. The record is from Rfam by way of RNAcentral. Lineage: Eukaryota; Fungi; Basidiomycota; Agaricomycetes; Agaricales; Omphalotaceae.
UCUAUGAUGAUACACGACUCAAGCAUAGUUCACACUGAAACGAUCAUGUUGACAAAAAUGCAUCUAACGUCUUUCGCUCCUAUCUGA